This 253-nucleotide ribosomal RNA is filed under the name uncultured bacterium. Its description in RNAcentral is "partial 16S ribosomal RNA". It matches the Rfam family "Bacterial small subunit ribosomal RNA", at positions 524 to 776 of the family's 1533-position model. The record is from RNAcentral.
UACGUAGGGGGCUAGCGUUGUCCGGAAUCAUUGGGCGUAAAGAGCGUGUAGGCGGUCCGGUAAGUCCGCUGUGAAAGUCGGGGGCUCAACCCUCGAAUGCCGGUGGAUACUGUCGGGCUAGAGUGCGGAAGAGGCGAGUGGAAUUCCUGGUGUAGCGGUGAAAUGCGCAGAUAUCAGGAAGAACACCUAUUGCGAAGGCAGCUCGCUGGGACGUAACUGACGCUGAGACGCGAAAGCGUGGGGAGCAAACAGG